Gopherus evgoodei (Goodes thornscrub tortoise) is the source of this 805-nucleotide long non-coding RNA. RefSeq lists it as uncharacterized. NCBI's taxonomy places the organism in Eukaryota, Metazoa, Chordata, Testudines, Testudinidae. The record is from RefSeq and is a predicted model, not a curated record. The transcript has 3 exons.
UAGGGACUCCGUCGGUUUCCAGUCCCAUUGGCCCAUUGGUUCCCUAUAGUCCUUUAAGGCCAUCCACAACUAUGUGUGGAGCUGACUGGUGUCCAAUCGGGGGCACCUGUGUCGAGGCGCUGGGGCUGAAGCUGCAGCGGCGGGAGCAGCAGCCCCAGUUCCAGGCUGACCAACCACUCUGGUGGCCUGGCAUGCCACUUCCUUAAGGUGUGAUAUAUCUAUGGGUUCUCUCUGCAUCCACACUCUCACAGCCAUCUGAACAUCUUUGGGCAACAUUGCUGCAAUAAGACUCAAUCUUGGACAGGGUCCUGGGAAUCACUCCCCCCUGGGCACGGGCCGGAUACCAGCCAGUUAACAAUCCCACUAAUACCAUUCUCUCCACAAAGACAUCAGUGGCCUCCUCUGGAGCAAGGGAGCCUGCUGUGUACUGGCAGCUCACCUCCUGCAGUGCCUCUCCUUGAGCCAAAUUGUGAACUUGCGUAAACAGGGACUGCCACCGUCUGGCAGCCUGCAUCCGCAGUGUGAUUCCCAUAUCGCACCCUGGUACAGUGGAUGCUGUCCUCAACAGCUUCCUAACCUCCUCUGGGUUUAACCCCAUAUCCUCUCUCGCCAUCAGAAACUGAUAUGCCCAUUCCAAGAAUGUGCUCGCCUUGGCUGCCCCUAACCCUGAGCCAGAGAAGUUCUCUCUUCAGGGGUCAAGGCUCCCUCCCUGGGCCGGGGGGCCGUGCUGGAAAGUUAACCAUUGCACAACUGCCAUCGGGGCUGGCCAAGCUCCUGGCCAUACCAUUUGGUCACCAUCUGGGAU